Molecule: long non-coding RNA, 14783 nt
Organism: Orcinus orca (killer whale)
Lineage: Eukaryota; Metazoa; Chordata; Mammalia; Artiodactyla; Delphinidae
Exons: 2
Source: RefSeq, a predicted model, not a curated record
GCAGGUGCCGGUCAUCCGUGCUGCAGUGAUUUGGGGGGUGGGGAGCUGGCUUUGCCCUGGAGUCUUGGAGGAAGAAGCUGAAUAUUGAGGAGGGGGGCGCGUAUACUUCCGAAGGCUCAGGGGAGGGGACUGGCAGCUCUUUCUGUCCACGGGGGAUGGACCGAGAUGCAGCAAGUUGAAUUUGAGUGAGACUUGGCAAAGAAUCUCUGGGUUGUGGAGGGCCCCUGUUAAUUGGUCCACAGGGCCGUGGUGUAACCUCUGCCGUGAGCCCAGGACUUGGGGGCAGGACCCGGGGCAGGCUCAUGUCGGGGCUGGAUGGGUUUGAGACCCUAGGACAGGCUGUCACAUUCUUGGUGGCUGGCGGUCACUGGGCCGUGGGGAGGCAGGCUUCUGCUCAGGAGGGGAUUGUGACUGCCCUGCUGGUACCCCCGGGGCAGGGGGUGAGGAGGGGUUUUCUGCACAGGAGGGUCUUCCUCUUCUUCCUUCCCAGGUAGGGAGGGUUGUGGCCAGAUGCAAAGGGAGCAUGAGAACGCCUCAUCUCUGCAUGCUAAUAUUUUCAGGGCUGCCUGGAGGGGGUCCCAGGCCAGGGAGCCCCGUGAUUCCUAUUCACAGCUCCGUUCGGGGGUGUUCUGCUUGGCUACCAUCCUCGGAGGGUCCAGACCCGGACUUGUGCUCACGGGGAGCUCACAGGGGAGGCGGUGCCAGUCCCGUGGGACGCUGUUACUGCCCCCGCAGGGAGGGUCUUGGCCCCAUGGGCUGUGUUAAGGUGCCGGCUGGGUUGUAAGCCCAGUGGAAGCUGGGUCCAGUUCUGAUCCCGGGACUCGGAGCUCAGUAAACGUUCAGUAAGUGUCCUUUGGGUUGAACAGGCAGAACAUUCUGGGAUUUUGAUAUACCUUUUAAAAAUGAUUUUUAAUGGUGGUAAAGUACACAUAACAACACUGACUGGUGUAGCCAUUUUUAAGUGUACAAGGCAUGGGCGUUAAAAACAUGAUGUUGCCGUGCAGCUGUCACCGUGAUCCAUCUCCACGACUUUUUCAUCUUCACCACCUGGAACUCUGUCCCCAUAACGUACUAACUCCCCCUCCCCCCAUCCCCUGGCACCCACCAUCCUACUUUUUGUCUCUACACAUUUAACUACUCUGGGUACCUCAUGCAGGUGGAAUCCUAAAUAUUUGCCCUUGUGUGUCUGGUUUGUUUCUCUUUGCACAUCUUCAGGGUUCAUCCAUGUUGUGGCAGGUGUCAGAAUUUCCUUCCUUUUUAAGGCUCAGUAAUAUUCCAUUAUGUGUAGAGCUCACUUUGCUUAUCCAUCCAUUGUUGAUGGGUACCUGGGGUCCUCCUGCUGCUUGGCUCUUGUCAGUGAAGCUGCUGUGAACGUUGGGUGUGCAAGUAUCUCGACUCCUUGCUUUGAAUUCUUUCAGGUUUUCCUUUUUGAAUGAGAGUUUUCCUGUGGUCCGUGGACUUGGGGGCUUGGGAUGGGGUGGGGUAGGGGUGGUGGUGGAGCAGCUGCGUUCUGCCCAAGUGCACAUCUGACCGAGCAGGUCUGGUGGGCCGAGGGGCUGACUGAAUUUCCUGUGACACUGGGCCACACUGUGGGCAGCAGGGGCCAAGAGGUCCCUUCCAGCCCUGGUGUGUGAAUCUGCAUCUCCCCAGACGUGACCCUGCAGAGCCACGCCACCCCCCAGGUGCACUGGUGCCAAUGUCGGGACGCAUGGCUGGUGUUUGGGGAGCGGCCAGGAGGCUGUUUCCUCACGAUCUUCUGCUGGUCCAGGGCCUUUGCUGCCGGAUACGGCCCCGUCACAGGGGUGAGGUGUUCGCGCUCAGCUGAGUCAGACAGCAUGUGGCUGGGGAGACGGUUGUCACCGUCCAGAUCUUGAUGACAGUUGGCACUGCAUGCCCGAGGAGGUGGUCCUGCUCUGGGGGACAGGCAGGGGGUGUCUGCUCAGGGUGGCACCGCCCGGGGUUGUCAGGGCGGGCGGGGCGGGGCGCAGCCUUGGGCACGUCUAAGAACAUCUUCCUCCAGCGGCAGCCGCUGGUCAGGUCGGACCGUGGGGACUGGUCAGGUCAGCUCUGCCUCGGGAGCGGGAUGUGAACAGCGGCCGUGGAACCAAGUGGGCGGGGCUGUGGGAGAGCCCCCGGGAGCCCGGGCCUCAGCAGCUGAGUUUUGGAGAGGGUGGGAUUUAACCAGGGAAAGACAGGGGAGGGAAGAGCAUUCCCAGCUGAGGCCGCAGUCCAGAGGUGUUGGGGAGCCUGGUUUUGGGCCUGUGCGGUUUUUCCAGGGAAAAGCAUUUCAGUGUCUGAGCUGGGCGUCAGCACCGUGGACCCGCAGCCCCUCUGUGCAGAUGGAAGUCCAGCUCUUCGUGGAGAGGUCCACGGGCCGGGGGGGAGGGGUGUGCUGCCUUCCCACCCCUGGAGCACGAACUGGGGGUCGGCGUAUGUGGCAGUCAUGGGUGUGCACAUGUGUGAACUCACAAGUGUGCUGAGCCCGCCUCCUGUAGGUCCUAUUGGCUGGAUGGGGAGGGGGCUCUCUGAGACCAGGGCUCACAGGUUGAGAACCUUUGGGUGCAUUUGAACCAGGCGGGGGCGUUGGACAGAUACUGCAAAGAGGAAGGAUGCUCGGGUUUGGAGGAGGUGGGGGCUUGGAUGACUCUGGGAGGAUUCUCUUCAUUUAAAACAGAAGUCACUGUGGGGUGAGCCUGGAAGUAAUGCGGGGUGAGAAGGAGGCUGGGGGGGGAGUAAGGCCCUCUGUGGGCUGGGAAAUUCGGCCUUCACCUGCUCGCUUGCACAUCCAGUCCUGAGGUCCUGGGCAAGUCCAGGGUCUUCCCGAUGGAGGGGUGUUCCCUGCAUCUAUUGCAGUGGCUUCUGCAGAGCCCCGGGUCUUAGCUCCCCCCCAUCAGCCCCUGUUCUGAGGCUCCAUCCGCUUCUCCCUCCCUCCCCCUCCUCUGGUCUCGGCCUAUCCAGCCCCUCCAGGCACAGAUCCGGUUGUCCCUCGGCCUCAUUUCCUGUCCAUCUUUCCUGCAGACCUGGCACUCCCAUCCCCUUCCGCCCUUCCAUGGCGGGGCUGGGUUGGGAGCUCCCAGGAGCCCCCCCAGCCUACAGGGCCUGCUCUGACUGCCCUCCAUGGGCUCACUAUCCCUUACCCCUGAGGGCCAGCUGGCGCUGCGGGGUCAAAGGAUCAGGGAGGUAGGGAGCUCUGUGCCCUCUGAUCAGACUCAGCCCUUUGCCUCUACCUCCAGGAAGCCCUCCAGACUGUGACCAUGGGCACAGGACAGGGUGUCCUGGGACCUCAGCUAAGUUGUUCCUAGAUUGACCUCCCUAAAGCACAGCACUGAUGAAAUCCAUGCUCACUAUGAGCUUUCACUGCUCACCCGCCGGGGCCCCCGCCCUCCACGGUAGAUUCACCCUCUUGUCCAGCUCAUACCUCCCUGCUCCCCAGCCCCUCCUGCUCUGGUCCUUUCGUGGUUUCCCACUGGCCACCUUUCCUCACAGCGGUUCUGCACUGAUCUCCUGAUCCCCAGCCCCGCUCCUCUUCACAUCACUGCUUUUCAAACUCCUAUGCAUCCUUCAAAGUCCUGCUCAAAUGGCACCUCUCCCACUAACUGGAAGUAGCCUCACUUCCUCUGAUUCCCGUGCCUUUUUGCAUCUUUCUCAUGUAUAAUGUCGUGUGUUUGUCUUGGAAUGUAAAUUAUUUGUGUAUGAACCUUCUUUCCUCUGCUAGAUGUUUUUUUUUAAAUGCAAAAACAGUUUUUCGCAGUACUGUUUCUUUAAAAUUUGGAAAAUAUAGACAUUAGAAAGAAACUAUAAUUCACCUGUAAGCCAGCGAUACCCACUCUUAACGUUUGCUAUGUCUUCUUCAGAAUUCCUUCCACGCCCUGAACUGGAUUCCAGGUUACUUGAGGCUGGGGCUGUUGUCUUUUUUUUUCUUUUUGAAAGACUCUCAUGAGAUACCGAGUGACUUGGACAUAACAGGUGCUCAAUAAAACAAUGUUGGAGGAGUGACAUGGGGAUGGCUUUGUGGUGGCUCUUGUAGGCAGAUGCAGGGGCUGCAGGGACCCCAUGGGACUCUCCAGGGAUCAAGCAGAUACUUUUCUGGUCAACCAAGACCCCACAGGUCUGAUCCGCUCACUCUGGCGUUCUGGGUUCUUGGUUUCCAAGGCCCCUGGACCUGGCAGCCUCCAGCCCUGCUCCUCUCUCAGGCUCUUGCCUCCCCUUCCAGGUCCCCCUGCCCCCACCUGGGUGGCUCUGGGUGGGGCUGGGCUGCAGGACCCAGAACCAUGUCUGUGUGGCAGGCUCGUCGCUCUCCCUCCCCCCGGGAGCCACCCCCCUGGUUCCACCGGCCAAGUUUCCCCGAGGCUGCCUUAUAAGGCGGGCGCUGGCCGCUCACUCGUGGGUCUGGUUCUUUGCCGUCUCUGAAUGCUCACUGGAGGCCGUGGGGGAGGCUGGGGUGACCGGGCCAUGUGGCGAGUGUGGUGUCCCCGGACUGGCGCCCAGCUGAGUUCUUGGGUGUGUCCUGGCUCCACCCCACUGGCCGACUGGUUCUGAGCCAUCGCUUCGCGGCCCCCCCAACCUGCCCCCCACUCCCCAGCCUCAGUUUCUUGAUCUGUCAAACGAGGGAGGCGUUGGGCUUGCUGGCCCGAGGCAACAAUGGUGGUAGGGGGUCUGAGCUGUCCAGGUACAGCUGCACCUACCCAGCCCCCAAUAACCAAGACAGGUAUCCAGUCCACGGUGGUGCCUGGAGUCCCUGGUGAUGUGGGCGUGACAUUGGGGUGGGGCAGACGCAGCGAAUGUCUUCCUCCGGUUUCCCUACGGCUAAAAACAUCUAGAGAUAUCUUUGGUCGUGGGUAGAGCCUUGAGGAAGGUGGACGUCAGGCCCCCUUCGCCUCUGGUGGUGAGCGUGGCUUUUUGGCAGACGAGGUGAGCCUGCCGUCUUCCGGGUGUACCUGGGUGCCGGCUGCACAAGGCCUGUGUUAGGGGCUGGGGCAGAACAGGGAAGAUGUCACUUCCACGGGGAAUCAUGGGACGCUACAAGCACAGGGACAUGGGGACAGAGGAGGCUGGGCAGAGAAGGCUUUGGGGAACGUGAGAUCUGAGCUGAGUCUGAAGGGUGGGAAGGGGUCAGCCAGUGAAGAGGGGGGACCGUGACGUGCCCCAGAAGUGUGUGUGGGGAUCAGAGAGCGUGAAGAGGGGGGAGAAGGGGACCGCCAUCUGCUUAGGGAGGAAGGGCCAGCUCUGCAAAGGCUCCCUAGACACCCCCCGUGUUCGCAGGACGACUCACUAACCAGGGUCCGCGCUGGGCCUGUCCCUGGCCUGUGAACUCCCCAGUGCCGGGGUCUGCACCUUGUCCACCCUUUCCUCCCAGCACCUGGCCUAUGGCAGGAGCUUCUUACACGUUGAGGGUCUCGUUUGUGUCUGGCAAAGUGGAGCCGUGAACUUGAAUCUGUGCCUUUGGGCCCUUAGCCCGGAGAGUUUUCUUCUGUGUGGGGCUGCGUGUUUCUAUUCUGGUGGGAAAAAGGCUGUACCUCCUGCAGGGAUGCUCCCACCUGGCUGCCUUCCCGACAGACCCCUCUGCUCUGGGCUCCUCCCCGUUCCGUCGUGACCCCAGAGGGCAUCCAGGCACCCUCUCACCUUUGGGGAUUGGGUCCCUUUCUCAUUCCGCCUUUUAAGAACAGACGCUCUCCUCUGAGAUGACCCUGAGGCCCGUGCACACCUCAGUCUGAAGCAGGAUGUCCCCAUGCAUGGGGGGACAGGAGGAUGUGGUGGAGGGGUGGCCAGGCCCAGGUGUGUCUCCUUCAAGGUGGGGCAGAGUAGGGGGCAGGGAGGACAGAGCGUGGCUCCAGGGCCCGGGAGAAAGCACUCACCGCCCCCGCUGGCCCUCCAGCUGUCUGCCAAGCCCAGCCCAGUGGUGAGGAGGGAGGAAUGCGGGCCCAUCCAGGGAAUGCAGCCGAGCAGCUGCGGAAUGCCUUACAUAGAGCUGGGCACAGCUGCGGGAGCGGGCCGGGCCGGGCAGGGAGGCCGGCGCUGCAGGCGGGUCCCCGCGCUGCCUCCCUGCAGCUUGGGGGCUGCAGCCCUGACCAGGGAUGGAGCCCGGGCCCCAGACACGUGGUGCUGGGUGAGGCCUCCUGGGUGCCUGACCUGGGAAGCCGAGCAGCUGCCUGGAGAGGGGCUGUGUCUGCAGCCGCAGCCUCUCCGCCCAGGACAGCUGCUGGCAGCCAGGGUCGGCACAAUGGGGCUGCUGUCCAGGGGACACGCCUGCGCGGACAGCCACGCUCUGUGGACAGAGGGCACAUUCAGCACCGGAGGAGCGGCUCGGACCCCCGCCUGGCGCCCCAAAGUGUGGGCGGCCCUGCCCAGACCCUGGGUUCCAGCAGGCAGCCUGAAGGAUGAUGCCACGUGGUUCCCACUGGCCUGAUGUGGCUAAAUGUGGACCUGGGGCUGCAUGUCUGAGAGCUGUGGGUGGUGAGGAGGGGACCCUUCUCGGGUCCAGGCAUGACUUCCUUUCCACGUUUUAUCCACUUUGGCUUUCCCUGGCCUGGGCCUUUCUGUGGGUGUCACAGACGCCCCCCUGGAAUCCCAGGGGCUCCCAGAGUUACCAGUUGUAGCGAAUGAGCAAAGGCAGAUCGUGGCCAGGACUGAGCGUCCAGUUCUCUGAGCAGGGAGGCCUCCUGUCCCCUUUCCCAUGCUGUCACUGGGCACACCGCUGUGGAACCCCAGGGCUCUAGGGAACCCGGUUUGGAAAUCCCUGGUCUGUCCAAUGCAGUUCAGAGACCCCAGCGCUGGUCCCAGCAAGGAAUUGGGAAGUGGAAGUGGCCUUGGAGGUCACCUCUUCCAUCUCCCUCCUUCUAAAAUAUAACACACAGAGGGUACAGCUUAGAAGCGCAGAAUGUUCCAGCGGGAAGCCACUCGGGAGGCCUUGCCCACUUGUUCGCGGGGGAAAUGGCCCUCAGACUGCCCUGGCCUGAUGACCUAUGCUCUCUGAGUCCUUCUUCUCAUCAUCGCAAUGGACCUCAUUCCUCCUGCACAGCGUUGUUAGAACGAAAGUGCUAACGUGUGAGGACCGCCAGGGCAGGCCCAGCACCCGGGAGGUUUUGUUAAACAGGCUCAUAAGUGAAAACCAAAUGCAGCCUUAUUUAACGAACGGGCUCAGCUUGGCCAUUGCAUGGUGCCUCUCCCUCCCCGCGCUUGUAGUCCGUGCUCUGGUCUGUAUCCCUGACUCCCUCGGCCCCGUCUGCCCCCAUUGCCUUUUUCUCUUCUAAUUCUCAAAGGCAGUGCGUGACCAUUGGUAGAAGAGAAAACAUCCAGGUCACAUGAAAUGUGAAAAGGAAAUCUGUCUCUCCUGAUCUCCCAGCCUUUCCCCAGGAUAGCCCAUGCGGCUGGUAGGGCGCGCUGUGUGUCCUUCUGGAGUCGGCGUGUGUGUUUUCCCCAUUUAAUGACACUGUGGAUGUAGAUCGGGCACAUUCCUCGUAACAGCUGCGUCCUCGGCCCUGACAUGGUCCUGCCAUUCUUGUCCGGCUUCCUCUGUGAUAAACGAGGCUUCCGUGAACAUCGUCUGGCUUAUAUAUGUGCACAUGUUGGAUAAACCUUUAGGAGUGGAAUUUCUGCACCAGAGGAUGCGUGCGUUUAAGAUUUUGACCCAUGUUGCCAAAUUGGCUUCUAAAACAGCUACAUCAGUUUCUGGUCGUGACAGAGAGAGGUACUGUGUCCCUUGCCCUGGGCGGAGAGGUAGAAAGCUAUCUGAUGGGUGUUUUAUUUUGUGCAUCUCUUAUUAAGUUGCGGGGGUGGGGGGGUAUCUUUUCCUCUGUUUGCAGGCCAAGGGCCCUAGGUUCCCUGUGAACUUCUCAUUCCUGUCCUAGGUUCCUUUUUUCCCCAGUUGGGUCGUUAAUCAUUUUCUUGAAUUUUUUUGUUUGUUUGUUUAAGUGUUCUUGGUACACCUUUGUCGUAGCCGUUACAAGUGCUUUUUCCCAGUUGUUAACUUUUCAUUUUGUGUCUAGUGUGUUCUUUUUUUUUUUUUUUUAAGUGUGUUCUUUUAAACAGAGAUUUUUAACCCUUAGGUUGUCACGUUUAUUCUUUUUCUUUUCUCUUGUGGAGGUUUAUGUCCUGCUUAGAGGCCGCCUGCAUUCCAAAAUCAUAACAAAAGAAUUCACUCAGGUUUUCUUCGGGUACUUUUAUGGUUUCAUUUUUAUGUACUGAAAUCAUUAAUCCAUUGGAAUUUACUUGGGUUUAAACAGCGAGGUAGAGACGCGCAACUCCUGCAUGGCUACGCACGCGUGAGCCUGGUCUACAGCGUGUUGGGCAUGUGUGCGUUGCUAUUUUUAUCAAUUUUGGUGUCAGUGUCGUGCUGGCUUAGCAAAAAUAAUUUGGAUGCGUUUCUUUACCCCCCUCUGUGUUCUGGAACAUUUUUAAGCGGCUACACGAUCAUCUCUGUGUUAAAACGUUUGAAGAAUUCACUAGUGAAACCAUCUGAGCUGGAUAUUUUUGUGGGAGCCUCAUCCUUUAAAAAGUUUUUUCCAUAGGUUUGUUUGAGUUUAGCGUUUGUUUCUUCCUAUUUUACACCUUUUUUUCCUAGAAAAUCAUGCUGUAAGCUAUUUAAAAUCCCUCAGAUCAUUCAGAGGUAGUGGUGUGUAGAGGGGGUGGUGAGGGGCCAGCCCCCCAUGAUUGCCACCAUCAAUCUGUGCACCUGAGUUUCUGCCCUGGGCCUGGCACUGUUCUCAGAGGAGAAUAUGCGUUGGUGGCCGGGACACAGCCCAUGUCCUGGGGACGCUCCCUCCGAAACAUGUGUGCAGUGCGGUGUGACAAGUGUUCUGAGAGGGACGAGUCCAGAAGGCCUUGGCACCCCGAGGAGGGAGCCCCCCCAACCCUGCCAGCAGAGACCUCUUGGAGGUGGGGGGUGGGGGGUAGGGCCCUUGGUCUUGAAGGGGGCAGAGUGGUCCAGGCAGGUGAAGGGCCGUUGGCUUUCUGGAAUCCUGAGUUUGAUGUUGCCCAGAGAGUGGCUUUCAAACUUAUUUUGGACUGCAGCCCCCAGUAAGAAGUACGUUUUGCACCACAAACCAGGACACACGUAUGUGUAGAUGUGUGUGUGUGUGUGUGUGUGGUGUAUAUACAAAUGAAACAGUAUUUCCACGGAGUACUUCUUGCCUUUAUCGCGUGCCUGCUACACCUUCAUACUCGCUGUAUGUGCUGCUUCGGAUGGGGGAGCUUUUCUUAUUUUCUAAAAACAGCUCUAUCGAGAUACAGUUCACAUAAUACCAUUUAGUUCUUCCAUUUAAAGUGUACAAUCCAAUGGUUUUUAGUUAUUUACAGGGUUGUGAAACCGUCGCCACAUCCAAUUUUAGACCGUUUUCAUCACUUCAGAAAGAAUCUCUGUCCCCAUUAACUGUCACCUCCUGUCCCCCACCCCCGUUUCUCCCAGCCCUGAACAAUGACCGUAGAUUUGCCUGUUGUGAACCUUCCUUAGAGAUGGGAUCGUACAGUGUGUGGUCUUUUGUGAUUGGCUUCCUUCCCUUUGCAUCGUGUUGCAAGGUUCCUGCGUGUUGUAGCCAGGAUCAGGGCUGCAUCCCUUUUCCUAGCUGAGUAAUAUUCCAUUUGUGGACUGGGCACAUCCUGUUUAUCCAUUCAUCAGCUGAGGGACAUUUGGGUUGUUUCUACCUUCUUCUUCUAGUUCUUCUAGUAUGAAUGUAUUCUUUUUAAAUGUUAAAAAAUAAUGCUGGUUAUGACCUGCUAACUAGUCUUCAGGACCCAUUAAAGCGUCAGGACCCACAGUUUGGGACACACUGGCCUAGGCGGUGGGCUGAAGGCGGGCCGGGCCAGAGGUGGGCUGGAUGCUGUGUUACGGGCCCCAUCCACCAGAGGUGUUUCACCAGGGCCUGAUCAGAUUUCCUAGAGAUUAUCAUGCCUGGAGCGUUUGUUUAUUCAGGAAGGGUUGAGCGUUGACAUGUACCAGGCACUGUUCGCGGCGCUGAGGAGUUCAUCCGCGCUGAACAUACAGAGACAAAUCCUGUCCUCCUGGGGCUUAUGUGCUGAUGGGAAGAGGCAGAGGGUAAAGAAAGCAAACAGUAAAACGUAAAGCCCGUUAGCCGUGGUGAGGGCUGAAGAGGAAAGUGAAGCAGGCGAGGCAGCUUGGGAGGUUGUGACCCUAACCAGGGUGGUCCUGGGUUCAAGGUCGAGCUUGGGUGUGGACCCCUGGAGGUCGGUGGGUGAAAGCAAGAAGAACACGCCCGAGAUUAGGGCAAGUGAGGCACUCCUCGGUGGGCACAAAAUUUAGCGGAGGGGUGGGGGAGCGCCAGAAAACUCAGGAGUCAAGAGAAGUAGUAUUUUUAUGCAAUGCUUUCAAAAAUCAGAAUUGCGCCCCCCAAAUCCUUGAUGAACAAAUAGGCACAUUUUCAAGAAAGAUGGGCCAGGCACGUGCACAGCCCCGCUGCACUCUCCUCGCCCGAAUCCCGCCCUGUUGGAUUGGAAAAAAUCAUUACGGAUUUUCUGCAAAAGUUUGAUUUUCAAAAAAUAUUGCAUUGACAUAUUAUGUAUCUUGAUUCCCGAGGUAUUUGGCGGUCCCUUUGAAAUUUGCACUCCCUGGUCUCCGCCCCAAGAGCGCUGAGGUUUGAGGGGCUGAGGACUUUGAACUUGCAGAGUGCCGCACCUGCCAGGGAUGGCAGUGGGGAGGGUGGGGCAGGGUGGGGAGUGCCUGGGGGCAGGAAGGCGCUGCAGCGUCCUCCUCUAGAAAGCUCGGUGGGGUGGGGAUGGGGGGAGCUGUACAACCACCCUUCCGGCCUGUCAUUUUGCUGUUGGACGUCUGUGCCGAGGCACUGUCCCCCUAAAUGGAGUGUGACGGGAGGGGAGGGUCCCUUGCACACCCAGAGAUCCAGUGGGAGGAAGAGGCGUAAUAAAGGGGGUCCAGAACUCGGGCCUGGGCUGGGCCUUCUGCUGACGGUGGGGAGGCAGCCCUGCCCACUCGGACCUGCUGCCCGGCUGGCCUCCAAGGCCCCGAGGAUGCAGCAGGGCCUCCUUUCCUGUCUAUCCCAGUGAGGUCUCCAGGUGCUCCACCCAAAGCGCUCUCCUUCUGGGGGCUCCCUGAGCUGGCCAAACAGCAUAUUCGGUUCCAGGCAGCCUCAGCUCGGCCAGGCCCUGGCGGGAGCACAGCCCUGACCAUCAUCUGAGACCUGUACGUCCUGUUUCCCGUGCAGGGCCGUGGGACCGGCUGCGGGGGGCGUGUCUGGUCUGAGAUGAGGCCCUUGUGGCCCGGGAGGAGCUGGAACUUUAUAACCGUGGCGGCCACAGCUUGGAGGUGGGGAGGGCUGGCUGUCAAUUCCCAGGGAGCGGCCCGCCCCUCCCUUCCUCUGAGCCCCCCAGUCGCCUGGUCCCUGGAACGAGAAGGCCGGCCUGACAGCCCGUUCUCCUAAGUCACUGUCUCCAGGCCCACUUCCUCUCAUCUGUAGUCACCCAGACUUCACGCCUUGCCUUACCUCUGACAGGGCAGAAACGGGAGAUCUUGGGGGACCCCCGAAGGGUGUGAGGAGACUGCUGUGUGAACAGAGGGGCUCUGUCCCUCCCCGGGGCGGGUCGCCCUUGCAGACGCAGCCUCCUGCCCUGGCAGAACUUGCUGUGUCCACUCCCUCCUCUGCACGGGGAUAGGGAGCCCAGCUGGGGGGUGGGUAACACCCACGGUCACCGUUGUCACUGGUGACCCCAGGGCAUGCCUGAGUCAUGAUGUGACCCCUGCCCGUUCCCCUGGCAGUCGGGUCCACUUCUUUGCACAGGGCAGUAGCCCAGCCCAGGAGGGGGGGCUCUAUUUUCACCCCUGGGAUCAUGCCCCCUCUCCUUAGGGCUGGUCUAAGGCAGGCCUUCCUGAGGUCUGUGGCUCCCUGCCUGUUUACCUGCUGACUAAUGCCUGUCUGGUGCCUGAUGGGAAGAGCUGGCUUGGUGAGGCGUCCAGGGCUCAGGUUACAGAGGGUUGGGGCACCUCCUGAAACAAGGCCCUGCAGUGUGGCCUCCACCGCCCGCCUGGGUUUCAGGCACCUCUGUCCCCAGCCCCCACCAGGUGAGUUCGUCCUGGGGCUCCCAGGCCGUGGCGGGGGGCUGUGGUUUUCCAGUGGGGGUCAGGGCUGGGGAGGCUGCGAUGGAAGAGGCCGAGCGGGGAGGCGCAGCCCCACUUCUUCCUGUGGCAGCGGGGGGCCUGGCCACUCCUGUGUCUCUCAGGAGGGUGACAGGCGGCUGGGCAGAGGCUGUGGGGCAGCUGUAGGGACCAGCUGGUGCAGGAACGGUGGGCGGACCUUGAAUCCCAGUCCCAGCUUUUCGGGAGUGGGCUGGUUUAGUCAGCGGCUCUGUCAGUGGACUUUCUGUUCAGGCGAGAGCGCCUAGGUCAGUGAGUCGGAGCUGAAUUUCUUGAUAUUUAAUUUAGUAGCAGGUUUGCCUCCCCCCCCCCCACCAAGCCCUUGCUUAUUACCCUGUGCUCGUUCGGGGCAGGUACUUGCGCUCUGCUCUCCGUGGGUGGCGUGGGCCUCCCGGCCUUGGUGCCUGCCCCCGUGAUGCCUGGGCAGCCCCACCUGGGCCUUCAAGCCAGUGAGACUUCUGGCUCCGGUGGUGGGUGGCUCUGUUUGGACCGAGAAGGUCCGGGACCGUUCAGCCUCGUAUCCAGAUGAGGCUUGGGGGGGAGGGGAGUGUUCUGAGCCGCCUUCCCGCUGCGUGGUUGGUGCGGCCUUGGUGGGGGCCUCCCUGUUGGCUGUUCCCUUCUCCUGCACGCUUCACUCCUCCCUUGGAGUUCCCCUUCCCUGGCCCCUGCGCGGGCCAGCUGGCACAAGCACUUUGCGGAUGGAACUUUGAAACUGGAAGACUUUCCAGGUCCAUCCAGGUCCAGAUCCCUGUGGCAACAAUGAGGGAAAUCCUUAUCUCAGCCGGAGAAGGAGGCCGAGUGGUUGAUAAUAACCACCAGCAGGAUAAGGUUAGCUUUCAGGCGCCCUAAUUACCCCAUUUUCCAGAUUAGGAAAUCAAGGCACAGGGAGCUCCAGCCACUUGCCUAAGGCCCCCAGUGGUUAAUAGUCUGAAUUUGAACCCUGGGGGAUGGAGCUGUCUGCCGGCGCUGGGGACCAGAGCUGAGGCAUGAAGCUGGGUCCCUGCCCCGAAGCUUGGGCUGGGGUGCGGAGCCGCCUGGACUGGCUCCCUCCUCUGGCCUCUUUCUUUCAGAAAGUACCAUGAGAUGAUGAAAUGAAAGAAAAGAAAACUCCAGUUAGAAAGGAGGGACUCUGGUACUCCCCCCCCUCCUCCAGCCCCUCAGCUGCCCUGGACUUUGGAGCAAGAUGCUGUUUGUCCGGGCCCGGGGACCGGCUUGAGCGUGGGCGCUUCUGGGCUCUGUCGAUGCCCCACAUCCUCUUCCGCGGCAACAGCAGACCCUGGGAGCCUGCUCUGGAGGGCUUGGCCGUGGGGUGCACUGCCCAGGCGGAGCCGGGCUUUCUCACCCGGGAAGUCGGUGUACCAUCCCAGGCAGCCUCAUUUCGUGGCGAGAGAGAGAGGGACAGUGACUUUUUUGGAGACAGGAGCUGGUCCAGGUAAGAAGCUGCCCUCCCAGUGCCCCCCGCGCCACUCCCUCCCCCGGUGGUACCACCGUCCCCCCAGCUGUGGUCUCACAGGGCACUCCACCUCCAGCUUCCUCUCUGAGCCUCGGCUGGUCAGUAGGGGGCAGUGGAGGCCUCAAGUCCUCCUAGAGGACUGGGCAUAGUGGAGUUUUUACAGAUCUGUCCCUGCAAAGUCUCUCGCAUCACACCCACAGUGUCUUCCCUCCCUGCUAACAUUUCUCCCGGGGUUGUCAUGCCGGGUGGAGUGUGGGGGGGCGCCCACCAGGCUGUGGGCAAAGCAGAGCUGUGUUGACACAAACUCCGGUUGAACCCAUAUCCUCCCUGCAACCCAGCGGAAGUAACCUCAUGGCAGGGCCGGCAGAGCCAGGACCCAGCUCUGCACAUGGAGGAGGGUCCAGGCCCCUCGGAGCCCCCCGGGGAAGACCCAGCCCAGUGCCUGGCUGACAGAUCCUUAGAAUGUUCCAUCCACUUGUCUAGGUGAUACAGUGGGCAGGUGUUAGCACUUCUGAGAAGCUAAGAAGCAUCUGUCUUCCUGGUUGAAAAACAAUUUUGUUGCGAUUUUAAAAAUUAUGCCUCCUUACGACAAAAAUAAAUUACUUAGAAAGCCAUAAAUAAGACAAUCGGUUAUAACUGCAUUCUACAGAAAUAAGCACUGUUCACGUUUUGGGGUUUUCUUCCAGUCUUUUCUCUACACAUAUACUUAAUACAAAUGAUUUUUUUUUUUUUUUUUUAAAGAACAAAAGUGGGAUCUGACACUUCUCCCUGCCACUGACAAGACUGCCCCUCACUGGGAGAUUUUCCUCACUCUUGGCCCAAGCCUUGCCUCGUAAAGGGAUGGGGAUAAAUUGCCCUAGGACGGUAUGGGCAGUUGAAGAACCAUCUCGUGGCUGGUGGGACUUGGAAACAGGCUGAGGAGUUUUGGCAGAGGGUGGACCCCAGCCCAGGGUGGUGGGCAGGGAGGGGAUGCUUAGAUGCUUUCACUUUUUAUUCCAGGGGGUUAUCUGGAAUAAAAUAGGGGUGUGAGUGAGAGUGUGGCCAGUGUCUGGGCCAUGACCUUUCCUGGCAGCAUGACCUUGGCCAACAUACUUUGUUUCCCUCUGUAAAAUGGGCGAAUAGAGACGCCCGCUCAAGAGACGGUGUGAGAAACAGGCUUGCUCAUACACGCAAAGGACUUAGGGCGGGCCUGGCAUCACCGCCGCCAUUGUGGUAAAUGGUACUUUCACUGUG